GUGUAGUAGUGACGGGAAGCUCUGUCACCGCCGCCUUGACCACACCCUGCCAUCACCGUCGCCUCCACCAUGUCCGGCACCACGGGCUCAUCGAGCCAAAGAGAUGGCGGGUACUAUUUGAUGAGUUGCAUCAAGGAUGUUCCAACCCUCAGAGGUGACAACUACACUGAAUGAAGAAAGAAGGUCGACAAGCUUUUGUUUGUCAUUAAUCAACGAGAUGAACAACCGUCCUUGCUUGUUCGUGAGACAGUGAAGGGCUAGGUCUAUGCCACUCCUUUUAUAUGAGACCAACAUGUGAACCUACAAUGACAUGUAUGUCUCCUUCAUUUUCUCUGGAGAGACCAUGCGAAGAGGGGCAGAUCAACGGUGAUGGGCAUCAACAUGAUUUAGUAGCGGGAAAUGCUGGGAAUGAGAUACAUCAAAAAAUUCACCAACUGACUA
Long non-coding RNA from Triticum aestivum (bread wheat), 441 nucleotides. RefSeq lists it as uncharacterized. The record is from RefSeq and is a predicted model, not a curated record. The transcript is spliced from 2 exons. NCBI's taxonomy places the organism in Eukaryota, Viridiplantae, Streptophyta, Magnoliopsida, Poales, Poaceae.